CAGUAGCCGCGGGAAUACGUAGGUCCCGAGCGUUGUCCGGAUUUAUUGGGCGUAAAGGGAGCGCAGGCGGUCAGGAAGGUCUGGAGUAAAAGGCUAUGGCUCAACCAUAGUGUGCUCUGGAAACUGUCUGACUUGAGUGCAGAAGGGGAGAGUGGAAUUCCAUGUGUAGCGGUGAAAUGCGUAGAUAUAUGGAGGAACACCAGUGGCGAAAGCGGCUCUCUGGUCUGUCACUGACGCUGAGGCUCGAGAGCGUGGGUAGCGAACAGGAUUAGAUACCCCUUAGUCCCUGUCUCUUAUACAC
Molecule: ribosomal RNA, 301 nt
Filed under: uncultured bacterium
Lineage: Bacteria
Description: partial 16S ribosomal RNA
Rfam family: Bacterial small subunit ribosomal RNA
Source: RNAcentral